Small nucleolar RNA from Juglans microcarpa x Juglans regia, 139 nucleotides. RefSeq annotates it as small nucleolar RNA Z247. The record is from RefSeq and is a predicted model, not a curated record. NCBI's taxonomy places the organism in Eukaryota, Viridiplantae, Streptophyta, Magnoliopsida, Fagales, Juglandaceae. The transcript has a single exon.
CCACUCAAAAAUGAUGAUACAAUCACCUAUAUGCUUGCAGGACUUGGUCAGGAAUACGAUUCCUUGGCCUCCACCACUACCUCAAGAGUUGAUCCUGUCACCUUGGAGGAACUCUACUCCCUCCUUCUCAUAUGUGAAU